ACCGGGAUCGUUCAUUUGGUAAGGACGGCGGUCUCUGAAUCCGCAGAGGCAGGUUCGAAUCCUGCUCCCGGUA
RNAcentral lists this transfer RNA (73 nucleotides) under Chondromyces crocatus. It matches the Rfam family "tRNA". From Rfam's summary of the family: Transfer RNA (tRNA) molecules are approximately 80 nucleotides in length. Their secondary structure includes four short double-helical elements and three loops (D, anti-codon, and T loops). Lineage: Bacteria; Pseudomonadati; Myxococcota; Polyangiales; Polyangiaceae. The record is from Rfam by way of RNAcentral.